This 254-nucleotide ribosomal RNA is filed under the name uncultured bacterium. RNAcentral's name for it is "partial 16S ribosomal RNA". It matches the Rfam family "Bacterial small subunit ribosomal RNA", at positions 524 to 777 of the family's 1533-position model. The record is from RNAcentral.
UACGGAGGGGACUAGCGUUGUUCGGAAUUACUGGGCGUAAAGCGCACGUAGGCGGAUUGUUUAGUCAGGGGUGAAAUCCCGAGGCUCAACCUCGGAACUGCCUUUGAUACUGGCAAUCUCGAGUCCGGAAGAGGUGAGUGGAAUUCCUAGUGUAGAGGUGAAAUUCGUAGAUAUUCGCAAGAACACCAGUGGCGAAGGCGGCUCACUGGCCCGGUACUGACGCUGAGGUGCGAAAGCGUGGGGAGCAAACAGGG